AGUCGAACGCAAAUAGCAAUAUUUGAGUGGCGCACGGGUGAGUAACACGUAGCUUACCUCCCCCCAAGAGUGGGAUAACGGUUCGAAAGAGCUGCUAAUACCGCAUAAGCUCCCGGUCUGUAGAGGACUGAGAGAAAAGGGGAAACUCGCUUGGGGACGGGGCUGCGGCCCAUCAGCUAGAUGGUGAGGUAAAGGCUUACCAUGGCGACGACGGGUAGGGGACCUGAGAGGGUGACCCCCCACACUGGGACUGAGACACGGCCCAGACUCCUACGGGAGGCAGCAGUGAGGAAUAUUGCACAAUGGGCGCAAGCCUGAUGCAGCGACGCCGCGUGAGUGAAGAAGGCCUUCGGGUCGUAAAGCUCUUUUCUGCGUGACGAGCAAGGACGGUAGCGCAGGAAUAAGUCUCGGCUAACUACGUGCCAGCAGCCGCGGUAAAACGUAGGAGACAAACGUUAUCCGGAGUUACUGGGCGUAAAGGGCGUGUAGGCGGUCUGUUAAGUCUGGCGUGAAAGCUCUCGGCUAAACCGGGAGAGGUCGUUGGAUACUGGCAGACUAGAGGACGGUAGAGGCGUGUGGAAUUCCGGGUGUAGUGGUGAAAUGCGUAGAGAUCCGGAGGAACACCAGUGGCGAAGGCGACACGCUGGGCCGUACCUGACGCUAAAGCGCGACAGCAUGGGGAGCAAACGGGAUUAGAAACCCCGGUAGUCCAUGCCGUAAACGAUGUCAGCUAGAUGUUCAAGCCGCGCAAGCGGCUGGGGUAUCGAAGCCAACGCGAUAAGCUGACCGCCUGGGGAGUACGGUCGCAAGGC
RNAcentral lists this ribosomal RNA (812 nucleotides) under uncultured Bacillota bacterium. Its description in RNAcentral is "bacterial SSU rRNA". It matches the Rfam family "Bacterial small subunit ribosomal RNA", at positions 60 to 894 of the family's 1533-position model. Lineage: Bacteria; Bacillati; Bacillota. The record is from RNAcentral.